This 649-nucleotide ribosomal RNA is filed under the name uncultured archaeon. RNAcentral describes it as "bacterial SSU rRNA". It matches the Rfam family "Archaeal small subunit ribosomal RNA", at positions 166 to 813 of the family's 1478-position model. The record is from RNAcentral.
GGUACUGGAAGGUCCUCAGGCCGAAAGGGGCUCUGCCCGCCCGAGGAUGGGCCGGCGGCCGAUUAGGUAGUUGGUGGGGUAACGGCCCACCAAGCCGAAGAUCGGUACGGGCCAUGAGAGUGGGAGCCCGGAGAUGGACACUGAGACACGGGUCCAGGCCCUACGGGGCGCAGCAGGCGCGAAACCUCCGCAAUGCGGGCAACCGCGACGGGGGGACCCCCAGUGCCGUGGCAACGCCACGGCUUUUCCGGAGUGUAAAAAGCUCCGGGAAUAAGGGCUGGGCAAGGCCGGUGGCAGCCGCCGCGGUAAUACCGGCGGCCCGAGUGGUGGCCGCUAUUAUUGGGCCUAAAGCGUCCGUAGCCGGGCCCGUAAGUCCCUGGCGAAAUCCCACGGCUCAACCGUGGGGCUUGCUGGGGAUACUGCGGGCCUUGGGACCGGGAGAGGCCGGGGGUACCCCUGGGGUAGGGGUGAAAUCCUAUAAUCCCAGGGGGACCGCCAGUGGCGAAGGCGCCCGGCUGGAACGGGUCCGACGGUGAGGGACGAAGGCCAGGGGAGCGAACCGGAUUAGAUACCCGGGUAGUCCUGGCUGUAAAGGAUGCGGGCUAGGUGUCGGGCGAGCUUCGAGCUCGCCCGGUGCCGAAGGGAAGCC